Molecule: non-coding RNA, 89 nt
Organism: Canis lupus familiaris (dog)
Lineage: Eukaryota; Metazoa; Chordata; Mammalia; Carnivora; Canidae
Source: Rfam
GGGGAGGCCGGAUCCUGGGCUGUGUCCCGGCGCCCUGUGCUCCGGAGCCUGCGCUGUUGGAUUCGCGCUCCCGGGCCGCGCAGCCCCCU